CAACAUUCCUUUGGUUCGCGCGUCCUCUUCGCAUAGAGGACUGGGAAGCGGGUGAGAAUCCCGCGCUGCCGCGCAACUGUAAGCGAGGAAAUUGCCGCCGGUCACCGGGAGUAAUCCUGGGAAGGCCGGUCGCGAUCGCCGGAUAUUGAGAUUAAGGCGCAUUUGCGCACUCAAUAUCAUGACUCGCCAAGCCAGGAGACCGGCGCGAACCGUCCACACCAA
Molecule: non-coding RNA, 222 nt
Filed under: Terriglobales bacterium
Lineage: Bacteria; Pseudomonadati; Acidobacteriota; Terriglobia; Terriglobales
Source: RNAcentral